RNAcentral lists this ribosomal RNA (497 nucleotides) under uncultured bacterium. RNAcentral's name for it is "partial 16S ribosomal RNA". It matches the Rfam family "Bacterial small subunit ribosomal RNA", at positions 28 to 507 of the family's 1533-position model. The record is from RNAcentral.
GAUGAACGCUGGCGGCGUGCCUAAUACUUGCAAGUCGAGCGAACGGACGAGAAGCUUGCUUUUCUGAUGUUAGCGGCGGACGGGUGAGUAACACGUGGAUAACCUACCUAUAAGACUGGGAUAACUUCGGGAAACCGGAGCUAAUACCGGAUAAUAUUUUGAACCGCAUGGUUCAAAAGUGAAAGACGGUCUUGUUGUCACUUAUAGAUGGAUCCGCGCUGCAUUAGCUAGUUGGUAAGGUAACGGCUUACCAAGGCAACGAUGCAUAGCCGACCUGAGAGGGUGAUCGGCCACACUGGAACUGAGACACGGUCCAGACUCCUACGGGAGGCAGCAGUAGGGAAUCUUCCGCAAUGGGCGAAAGCCUGACGGAGCAACGCCGCGUGAGUGAUGAAGGUCUUCGGAUCGUAAAACUCUGUUAUUAGGGAAGAACAUAUGUGUAAGUAACUGUGCACAUCUUGACGGUACCUAAUCAGAAAGCCACGGCUAACUACGUG